RNAcentral lists this non-coding RNA (32 nucleotides) under Rattus norvegicus (Norway rat). The record is from RNAcentral. Lineage: Eukaryota; Metazoa; Chordata; Mammalia; Rodentia; Muridae.
UGAUCUGGUCUUCUAAUGGUCAGUGUGGCCUU